This 76-nucleotide transfer RNA is filed under the name Salmonella phage 7-11. RNAcentral's name for it is "tRNA-Cys". It matches the Rfam family "tRNA". Rfam says of the family: Transfer RNA (tRNA) molecules are approximately 80 nucleotides in length. Their secondary structure includes four short double-helical elements and three loops (D, anti-codon, and T loops). Further hydrogen bonds mediate the characteristic L-shaped molecular structure. tRNAs have two regions of fundamental functional importance: the anti-codon, which is responsible for specific mRNA codon recognition, and the 3' end, to which the tRNAs corresponding amino acid is attached (by aminoacyl-tRNA synthetases). tRNAs cope with the degeneracy of the genetic code in two manners: having more than one tRNA (with a specific anti-codon) for a particular amino acid; and 'wobble' base-pairing, i.e. permitting non-standard base-pairing at the 3rd anti-codon position. Lineage: Duplodnaviria; Heunggongvirae; Uroviricota; Caudoviricetes; Grimontviridae. RNAcentral also lists the same sequence under 1 other name. The record is from RNAcentral.
GGGUAGCUGGCUGAGUGGCUUAGGCAUCGGAUUGCAAAUCCGAAUCACACCCGUUCGAAUCGGGUGCUACCCUCCA